RNAcentral lists this long non-coding RNA (457 nucleotides) under Cricetulus griseus (Chinese hamster). Its description in RNAcentral is "lncRNA (ENSCGRG00015033150.1)". The record is from RNAcentral. Lineage: Eukaryota; Metazoa; Chordata; Mammalia; Rodentia; Cricetidae.
UCAUUAUGUUAGAAAAGACACAUGGAAAGCAUGGAGGUGUAACUGAAGAUAUUAGUGAUUUGAUGGAAAAUGUCUCUGAGUUGAUGAAGAAACAAAUAUGACAACAGAAACUAAAAAAAAAAAAAACAAAACAAAACUCUGAAUUCCUCCAGUUCUUUGACAAUUUUAUUGCAGAGGCUGGAAAGAUAGAUUGCUAAGUGAAUAAAAUGCUUGUCAUAGAGGACAUCUCUGCAGAUAUGAUUUAAUUGAAGGCAUUUCAAAGAAAAAUUAGGAGGAAUGUUGUCUACUUCUAGGCAUACAUAAGACUUUGAAAGUCUACCUAGAGGUUUUUAAUUCUUAAUGAAUUACACCGAGAAAGUAAGUUGUUUAGUGUGAAAGAUUGCAUCAUUUAAGUAUUUGUAUAUUGACAUUAUUAUAUUAUUAUAUUGUUUUUGGACAGGUUCUCACUAUGUAGCAC